CACGUGAGCAACCUGCCUUUAAGAGGGGGAUAACGUUUGGAAACGAACGCUAAUACCGCAUAACAUAGAAGAUUCGCAUGUUUCUUCUAUCAAAGAUUUAUCGCUUAAAGAUGGGCUCGCGUCUGAUUAGCUGGUUGGUGAGGUAACGGCUCACCAAGGCGACGAUCAGUAGCCGUACUGAGAGGUAGAACGGCCACAUUGGGACUGAGACACGGCCCAGACUCCUACGGGAGGCAGCAGUGGGGAAUAUUGCACAAUGGAGGGAACUCUGAUGCAGCGAUGCCGCGUGAGGGAAGAAGGUUU
RNAcentral lists this ribosomal RNA (303 nucleotides) under uncultured bacterium. Its description in RNAcentral is "bacterial SSU rRNA". It matches the Rfam family "Bacterial small subunit ribosomal RNA", at positions 114 to 417 of the family's 1533-position model. The record is from RNAcentral.